Molecule: ribosomal RNA, 845 nt
Filed under: uncultured bacterium
Lineage: Bacteria
Description: bacterial SSU rRNA
Rfam family: Bacterial small subunit ribosomal RNA
Source: RNAcentral
AAUGAACGCUGGCGGCGCGCCUAAUACAUGCAAGUCGAGCGAGAAGACGUAGCAAUACGUUUGUAAAGCGGCGAACGGGUGAGGAAUACAUGGGUAACCUACCCUAGAGUGGGGAAUAACUAGCCGAAGGGUUAGCUAAUACCGCGUACGCUCCUUGGACUUCGGUUCAGGGAGGAAAGCGAUACCGUGGGUAUCGCGCUCUUGGUUGGGCUCAUGUCCUAUCAGCUUGUUGGUGAGGUAACGGCUCACCAAGGCUUCGACGGGUAGCUGGUCUGAGAGGACGAUCAGCCACACUGGCACUGCGACACGGGCCAGACUCCUACGGGAGGCAGCAGUAAGGAAUAUUGCGCAAUGGGCGAAAGCCUGACGCAGCGACGCCGCGUGGGGGAUGAAGGUCUUCGGAUUGUAAACCCCUUUCGGGAGGGAAGACGGAACGAGCAAUCGUUCGGACGGUACCUCCAGAAGCAGCCACGGCUAACUUCGUGCCAGCAGCCGCGGUAAUACGAAGGUGGCAAGCGUUAUUCGGAUUUACUGGGCGUACAGGGAGCGUAGGCGGUUCGGUAAGCCCUCUGUGAAAUCUCCAGGCUUAACCUGGAACAGUCGGAGGGGACUGCUGGGCUAGAGGACGGGAGAGGAGCGCGGAAUUCCCGGUGUAGCGGUGAAAUGCGUAGAGAUCGGGAGGAAGGCCGGUGGCGAAGGCGGCGCUCUGGAACGUUUCUGACGCUGAGGCUCGAAAGCGUGGGGAGCAAACAGGAUUAGAUACCCUGGUAGUCCACGCCUUAAACUAUGAAUACUAAGUGUCGGCGGGUUACCGCCGGUGCCGCAGCUAACGCAUUAAGUAUCCG